CCUACGGGCGGCAGCAGUCGAGAAUCAUUCACAAUGGGGGAAACCCUGAUGGUGCGACGCCGCGUGGGGGAAUGAAGGUCUUCGGAUUGUAAACCCCUGUCAUGUGGGAGCAAAUUAAAAAGAUAGUACCACAAGAGGAAUAGACGGCUAACUCUGUGCCAGAAGCCGCGGUAAUACAGAGGUCUCAAGCGUUGUUCGGAAUCACUGGGCGUAAAGCGUGCGUAGGCUGUUUCGUAAGUCGUGUGUGAAAGGCGCGGGCUCAACCGGCGGACGACACAUGAAACUGGGAGACUAGAGUAAAGGAGGGGGGAGCGGAAUUCGCGGUGUAGCAGUGAAAUGCGUAGAUAUCGAGAAGAACACUCGUGGCGAAGGCAGGUUCCUGGACAUUAACUGACGCUGAGGCACGAAGGCCAGGGGAGCGAAAGGGAUUAGAUACCCCUGUAGUC
Molecule: ribosomal RNA, 446 nt
Filed under: uncultured bacterium
Lineage: Bacteria
Description: partial 16S ribosomal RNA
Rfam family: Bacterial small subunit ribosomal RNA
Source: RNAcentral